Molecule: ribosomal RNA, 819 nt
Filed under: uncultured Actinomycetes bacterium
Lineage: Bacteria; Bacillati; Actinomycetota; Actinomycetes
Description: bacterial SSU rRNA
Rfam family: Bacterial small subunit ribosomal RNA
Source: RNAcentral
ACUCCUACGGGAGGCAGCAGUGGGGAAUAUUGCACAAUGGGCGAAAGCCUGAUGCAGCGACGCCGCGUGAGGGAUGACGGCCUUCGGGUUGUAAACCUCUUUCAGCAGGGACGAAGCGCAAGUGACUGUACCUGCAGAAGAAGCACCGGCUAACUACGUGCCAGCAGCCGCGGUAAUACGUAGGGUGCGAGCGUUGUCCGGAAUUAUUGGGCGUAAAGAGCUUGUAGGUGGCUCGUUGCGUCGGGAGUGAAAACCCGCGGCUUAACCGCGGGCCUGCUUCCGAUACGGGCGAGCUAGAGUUCGGCAGGGGAGACUGGAAUUCCUGGUGUAGCGGUGGAAUGCGCAGAUAUCAGGAGGAACACCGGUGGCGAAGGCGGGUCUCUGGGCCGAUACCGACACUGAGAAGCGAAAGCGUGGGGAGCGAACAGGAUUAGAUACCCUGGUAGUCCACGCCGUAAACGUUGGGAACUAGGUGUGGGGUCCAUUCCACGGGCUCUGUGCCGCAGCUAACGCAUUAAGUUCCCCGCCUGGGGAGUACGGCCGCAAGGCUAAAACUCAAAGGAAUUGACGGGGGCCCGCACAAGCGGCGGAGCAUGUGGCUUAAUUCGAUGCAACGCGAAGAACCUUACCUGGGCUUGACAUGUUCGGUCUACCUGCAGAGAUGUGGGGUGCUUUUGCGCCGUUCACAGGUGGUGCAUGGUUGUCGUCAGCUCGUGUCGUGAGAUGUUGGGUUAAGUCCCGCAACGAGCGCAACCCUCGUUCCAUGUUGCCAGCGCGUUAUGGCGGGGACUCAUGGGAGACUGCCGGGGUCAACUCGGA